AAAUUGAAGAGUUUGAUCAUGGCUCAGAUUGAACGCUGGCGGCAGGCCUAACACAUGCAAGUCGAACGGUAACAGGAAGCAGCUUGCUGUUUCGCUGACGAGUGGCGGACGGGUGAGUAAUGUCUGGGAAACUGCCUGAUGGAGGGGG
This 148-nucleotide ribosomal RNA is filed under the name Escherichia coli. RNAcentral's name for it is "partial 16S ribosomal RNA". It matches the Rfam family "Bacterial small subunit ribosomal RNA", at positions 1 to 142 of the family's 1533-position model. Lineage: Bacteria; Pseudomonadati; Pseudomonadota; Gammaproteobacteria; Enterobacterales; Enterobacteriaceae. The record is from RNAcentral. RNAcentral also lists the same sequence under 6 other names.